GACGAACGCUGGCGGCGUGCUUAACACAUGCAAGUCGAACGGAAAGGCCCUGCUUUUGUGGGGUGCUCGAGUGGCGAACGGGUGAGUAACACGUGAGUAACCUGCCCUUGACUUUGGGAUAACUUCAGGAAACUGGGGCUAAUACCGGAUAGGAGCUCCUGCUGCAUGGUGUGGGUUGGAAAGUUUCGGCGGUUGGGGAUGGACUCGCGGCUUAUCAGCUUGUUGGUGGGGUAGUGGCAUACCAAGGCUUUGACGGGUAGCCGGCCUGAGAGGGUGACCGGCCACAUGGGGACUGAGGGAGGGCCCAGACUCGUACGGGAGGCAGCAGUGGAGAAUGUUGCACAAUGGGCGGGAGCCUGAGGCAGCAACGCCGCGUGCGGGAUGACGGCCUUCGGGUUGUAAACCGCUUUCGCCUGUGACGAAGCGUGAGUGACGGUAAUGGGUAAAGAAGCACCGGCUAACUACGUU
Molecule: ribosomal RNA, 468 nt
Filed under: uncultured bacterium
Lineage: Bacteria
Description: partial 16S ribosomal RNA
Rfam family: Bacterial small subunit ribosomal RNA
Source: RNAcentral